UAAAUAGUCAGGCUGGCUUUGGCUGGUCGCCGACUUCUUAGAGGGACUGUCAGUGUCUAACUGACGGAAGUUUGAGGCAAUAACAGGUCUGUGAUGCCCUUAGAUGUUCUGG
Molecule: ribosomal RNA, 112 nt
Filed under: Hydropus marginellus
Lineage: Eukaryota; Fungi; Basidiomycota; Agaricomycetes; Agaricales; Mycenaceae
Description: partial small subunit ribosomal RNA
Rfam family: Eukaryotic small subunit ribosomal RNA
Source: RNAcentral